GAUGUGUAAGAUUUCUCUUUUUUACUUGGCGCUCAAAAUGAAUAUUAACAUACAAAUUUAAAUUUGUAGCAGCAAAUUAUGCAUACAAAUCAAGUAAAAGCAAAAAACUUAACCCUUUAUAACUUCACGUAACAGGUAUAAUUAAAAAUUUUAGCAUUUCUGAUACUGUUUUUGAGCCGACGAACAAAUACCUAAAGGAUCUGAUCAAACAAAAUUUGCACAACUGUCGAAAUGUAAUCUGGAGCUGAAAUUAUUAUAAAGCCUCAAAUAUAGUAAAGAGAGCAGCCAUAAAUAUUUCAGAGAAUCGAAACUACAGACUAGAUUUUAACAAAUAUUUAACGCCGCUGUCGCUACUAGAAUAUUGAGCCAACUAACGAAUCUGCAGCUUACGAAAAAAACGACGAAUUGGUAUACCUGAUUUCAUACUAUCAAUAUAUGGUAUAGAUGUAAUUAUCAUUGCCUGGAAGAACAAGAAAUCUUAUGCCUUAGCACUUGCUUAUAUAAGUGAGCUACCAAAAUCUGAAUUAUGCCUUUAUGUAAGACCGUGCAUUGUGAGCGAGUGUAACCAGACAGUAGUUGACUUUUCUUUAUAGAUUUGUGGUUCUAUGAAAAUUAUGCACGAACAGAACAGAAGCGUUUACUCAGUCCAAGAUGUUCUUCCAUUAGCACCAAAUUUUAAAAUAUUCACGACAGUCGAGUCUAUGUAAUAUACAAUAUGUUGCAAGUGACCUGAAUGCAGCGGAAUGUCACAAAACAAAAUGUCGUUAGAUAUAGAGAUGAAAGACUUUUUAACGUUACUUUUUAGUUAGUAACAACAAAAUGCAAGCGGUGAAAAAUUGUUUAUAAUUUACAAGCUCUUUGACAGUUUUUCAAUGUUGCCUUUUCUCACUGUAAAAAUUAUUAUGUCACUGAGUAUUUAAAUAUUUAAAUAGCGCAAUCUUAUUUCGAU
Molecule: non-coding RNA, 949 nt
Organism: Bactrocera oleae (olive fruit fly)
Lineage: Eukaryota; Metazoa; Arthropoda; Insecta; Diptera; Tephritidae
Source: RefSeq, a predicted model, not a curated record